GCUCGUAGGCGGUUUGUCGCGUCUGCUGUGAAAACUGGAAGCUCAACUUCCAGCCUGCAGUGGGUACGGGCAGACUAGAGUGCGGUAGGGGAGAACGGAAUUCCUGGUGUAGCGGUGGAAUGCGCAGAUAUCAGGAGGAACACCGAUGGCGAAGGCAGUUCUCUGGGCCGUUACUGACGCUGAGGAGCGAAAGCGUGGGGAGCGAACAGGAUUAGAUACCCUGGUAGUCCACGCCGUAAACGGUGGGUGCUAGCUGUGGGCCACAUUCCACGUGGUCCGUGACGAAGUUAACACAUUAAGCACCCCGCCUGGGGAGUACGGCCGCAAGGCUAAAACUCAAAGGAAUUGACGGGGGCCCGCACAAGCGGCGGAGCAUGCGGAUUAAUUCGAUGCAACGCGAAGAACCUUACCAAGGCUUGACAUAUAGAGGAAAAGUGCAGAAAUGUACUCCCCGUAAGGUCUCUAUACAGGUGGUGCAUGGUUGUCGUCAGCUCGUGUCGUGAGAUGUUGGGUUAAGUCCCGCAACGAGCGCAACCCUCGUCCUAUGUUGCCAGCACGUAAUGGUGGGAACUCAUGGGAUACUGCCGGGGUCAACUCGGAGGAAGGUGGGGAUGACGUCAAAUCAUCAUGCCCCUUAUGUCUUGGGCUUCACGCAUGCUACAAUGGCCGGUACAGAGGGCUGCAAUACCGUAAGGUGGAGCGAAUCCCAAAAAGCCGGUCUCAGUUCGGAUUGAGGUCUGCAACUCGACCUCAUGAAGUCGGAGUCGCUAGUAAUCGUAGAUCAGCAACGCUACGGUGAAUACGUUC
RNAcentral lists this ribosomal RNA (807 nucleotides) under uncultured bacterium. Its description in RNAcentral is "bacterial SSU rRNA". It matches the Rfam family "Bacterial small subunit ribosomal RNA", at positions 567 to 1373 of the family's 1533-position model. The record is from RNAcentral.